Molecule: non-coding RNA, 132 nt
Filed under: Cicer arietinum (chickpea)
Lineage: Eukaryota; Viridiplantae; Streptophyta; Magnoliopsida; Fabales; Fabaceae
Description: Eukaryotic small subunit ribosomal RNA
Rfam family: Eukaryotic small subunit ribosomal RNA
Source: Rfam by way of RNAcentral
CGUUCGUCGCUUCUAUCAAUUGAAUAGUUUGAUAAAGUGUUCGGAUUGUGAUGACGUGGGUGGUUCGUUGUCCACGACAUUGUGAGAAGUCCAUUGAACUUUUUUAUUUAGAAGAAGAAGAAGUCGUAACAA